GUGGACUCAUUACACUUUGAAAAUUUCUAGUUAGAAAUCCAAACAGAGGGCUGGAGCGAUGGCUCAGCCAUUAAGGGCUAGGCUCACAACCAAAAAUAUA
RNAcentral lists this microRNA precursor (100 nucleotides) under Mesocricetus auratus (golden hamster). RNAcentral's name for it is "miRNA (ENSMAUG00000004477.1)". Lineage: Eukaryota; Metazoa; Chordata; Mammalia; Rodentia; Cricetidae. The record is from RNAcentral.